UAGGGAAUCUUCCGCAAUGGACGCAAGUCUGACGGAGCAACGCCGCGUGAGUGAUGAAGGUCCUCGGAUCGUAAAACUCUGUUACUAGGGAAGAACAAAUGUGUAAGUAACUAUGCACGUCUUGACGGUACCUAAUCAGAAAGCCACGGCUAACUACGUGCCAGCAGCCGCGGUAAUACGUAGGUGGCAAGCGUUAUCCGGAAUUAUUGGGCGUAAAGCGCGCGUAGGCGGUUUUUUAAGUCUGAUGUGAAAGCCCACGGCUCAACCGUGGAGGGUCAUUGGAAACUGGAAAACUUGGGUGCAGAAGAGGAAAGUGGAAUUCCAUGUGUAGCGGUGAAAUGCGCAGAGAUAUGGAGGAACACCAGUGGCGAAGGCGACUUUCUGGUCUGUAACUGACGCUGAUGUGCGAAAGCGUGGGGAUCAAACAGG
RNAcentral lists this ribosomal RNA (429 nucleotides) under Bacteroidota bacterium. Its description in RNAcentral is "Bacteroidetes bacterium partial 16S ribosomal RNA". It matches the Rfam family "Bacterial small subunit ribosomal RNA", at positions 355 to 776 of the family's 1533-position model. The record is from RNAcentral. Lineage: Bacteria; Pseudomonadati; Bacteroidota.